CGCGAAUUCGCCCUUCGGGGCGCAGCAGGCGCGAAAACUUUACAAUGCCGGCAACGGCGAUAAGGGAACCUCGAGUGCCAGGUUACAAAUCUGGCUGUCGUGAUGCCUAAAAAGCAUUGCAUAGCAAGGGCCGGGCAAGACCGGUGCCAGCCGCCGCGGUAACACCGGCGGCUCGAGUGGUAACCGUUAUUAUUGGGUCUAAAGGGUCUGUAGCCGGCCGGGUAAGUCUCUUGGGAAAUCUGGCAGCUUAACUGUCAGGCUUUCAGGAGAUACUGCCUGGCUCGAGGCCGGGAGAGGUGAGAGGUACUUCAGGGGUAGGGGUGAAAUCUUGUAAUCCUUGAAGGACCACCAGUGGCGAAGGCGUCUCACCAGAACGGACCUGACGGCAAGGGACGAAAGCUAGGGGCACGAACCGGAUUAGAUACCCGGGUAGUCCUAGCCGUAAACGAUACUCGCUAGGUGUCGGCCACGGUGCGACCGUGGUCGGUGCCGUAGGGAAGCCGUGAAGCGAGCCACCUGGGAAGUACGGCCGCAAGGCUGAAACUUAAAGGAAUUGGCGGGGGAGCAC
RNAcentral lists this ribosomal RNA (568 nucleotides) under uncultured archaeon. RNAcentral's name for it is "bacterial SSU rRNA". It matches the Rfam family "Archaeal small subunit ribosomal RNA", at positions 311 to 879 of the family's 1478-position model. The record is from RNAcentral.